Molecule: ribosomal RNA, 494 nt
Filed under: uncultured bacterium
Lineage: Bacteria
Description: partial 16S ribosomal RNA
Rfam family: Bacterial small subunit ribosomal RNA
Source: RNAcentral
GACGAACGCUGGCGGCGUGCUUAACACAUGCAAGUCGAACGGAAAGGCCUGCUUUCCCUUGUGGAUUGCGGGUACUCGAGUGGCGAACGGGUGAGUAACACGUGAGUGAUCUGCCCCCAACUUGGGUAUAAGCCUGGGAAACUGGGUCUAAUUCCCGAUAGGACUGCAGGGUGGUGCCUGUGGUGGAAAACGAUUUUCUAGUGGUUGGGGAUGAGCUCGCGGCCUAUCAGCUUGUUGGUGGGGUAAUGGCCUACCAAGGCGGCGACGGGUAGCCGGCCUGAGAGGGUGGACGGCCACAUUGGGACUGAGAUACGGCCCAGACUCCUACGGGAGGCAGAAGUGGGGAAUAUUGGACGAUGGGCGGAAGCCUGAUGCAGCGACGCCGCGUGGAGGAUGACGGCCUUCGGGUUGUAAACUCCUUUCGACCGCGAGGAAGCCACCUGGUUGGAAGGGUGGUGACGGUAGUGGUAGAAGAAGCACCGGCUAACUACGUG